UUUUCGCGUAAGGGAUAGCAGUGGAAAUCCUUUUUACUUUAUACAGCGAUAGCGGAAUAAAGUAAAAAGAUUGUAACGAAUAGCCCGACCGCGC
This 94-nucleotide small RNA is filed under the name Flavobacterium gillisiae. Its description in RNAcentral is "Flavo-1 RNA". It matches the Rfam family "Flavo-1 RNA". The record is from RNAcentral. Lineage: Bacteria; Pseudomonadati; Bacteroidota; Flavobacteriia; Flavobacteriales; Flavobacteriaceae.